This 1303-nucleotide ribosomal RNA is filed under the name uncultured bacterium. RNAcentral's name for it is "bacterial SSU rRNA". It matches the Rfam family "Bacterial small subunit ribosomal RNA", at positions 93 to 1381 of the family's 1533-position model. The record is from RNAcentral.
UAGCGGCGGACGGGUGAGUAACACGUGGAUAACCUACCUAUAAGACUGGGAUAACUUCGGGAAACCGGAGCUAAUACCGGAUAAUAUAUUGAACCGCAUGGUUCAAUAGUGAAAGACGGUUUUGCUGUCACUUAUAGAUGGAUCCGCGCCGCAUUAGCUAGUUGGUAAGGUAACGGCUUACCAAGGCAACGAUGCGUAGCCGACCUGAGAGGGUGAUCGGCCACACUGGAACUGAGACACGGUCCAGACUCCUACGGGAGGCAGCAGUAGGGAAUCUUCCGCAAUGGGCGAAAGCUUGACGGAGCAACGCCGCGUGAGUGAUGAAGGUCUUCGGAUCGUAAAACUCUGCUAUUAGGGAAGAACAAAUGUGUAAGUAACUAUGCACGUCUUGACGGUACCUAAUCAGAAAGCCACGGCUAACUACGUGCCAGCAGCCGCGGUAAUACGUAGGUGGCAAGCGUUAUCCGGAAUUAUUGGGCGUUAAGCGCGCGUAGGCGGCUUUUUUAAGUCUGAUGUGAAAGCCCACGGCUCAACCGUGGAGGGUCAUUGGAAACUGGAAAACUGGAGUGCAGAAGAGGAAAGUGGAAUUCCAUGUGUAGCGGUGAAAUGCGCAGAGAUAUGGAGGAACACCCGUGGGGAAGGCGACUUUCUGGUCUGUAACUGACGCUGAUGUGCGAAAGCGUGGGGAUCAAACAGGAUUAGAUACCCUGGUAGUCCACGCCGUAAACGAUGAGUGCUAAGUGUUAGGGGGUUUCCGCCCCUUAGUGCUGCAGCUAACGCAUUAAGCACUCCGCCUGGGGAGUACGACCGCAAGGUUGAAACUCAAAGGAAUUGACGGGGACCCGCACAAGCGGUGGAGCAUGUGGUUUAAUUCGAAGCAACGCGAAGAACCUUACCAAAUCUUGACAUCCUCUGACCCCUCUAGAGAUAGAGGUUUCCCCUUCGGGGGACAGAGUGACAGGUGGUGCAUGGUUGUCGUCAGCUCGUGUCGUGAGAUGUUGGGUUAAGUCCCGCAACGAGCGCAACCCUUAAGCUUAGUUGCCAUCAUUAAGUUGGGCACUCUAAGUUGACUGCCGGUGACAAACCGGAGGAAGGUGGGGAUGACGUCAAAUCAUCAUGCCCCUUAUGAUUUGGGCUACACACGUGCUACAAUGGACAAUACAAAGGGCAGCGAAACCGCGAGGUCAAGCAAAUCCCAUAAAGUUGUUCUCAGUUCGGAUUGUAGUCUGCAACUCGACUAUAUGAAGCUGGAAUCGCUAGUAAUCGUAGAUCAGCAUGCUACGGUGAAUACGUUCAAGGGUCU